UACGUAGGGUGCAGGCGUUAAUCGGCAUUACUGGGCGUAAAGCGUGCGUAGGCGGUUUGUUAAGACAGGUGUGAAAUCCCCGGGCUUAACCUGGGAACUGCGCUUGUUACUGGCAGACUUGAGUGUGGCAGAGGGGGGUGGAAUUCCACGUGUAGCAGUGAAAUGCGUAGAGAUGUGGAGGAACACCGAUGGCGAAGGCAGCCCCCUGGGCUAACACUGACGCUGAUGCACGAAAGCGUGGGGAGCAAACAGG
RNAcentral lists this ribosomal RNA (253 nucleotides) under uncultured bacterium. Its description in RNAcentral is "partial 16S ribosomal RNA". It matches the Rfam family "Bacterial small subunit ribosomal RNA", at positions 524 to 776 of the family's 1533-position model. The record is from RNAcentral.